Plutella xylostella (diamondback moth) is the source of this 77-nucleotide non-coding RNA. The record is from Rfam. NCBI's taxonomy places the organism in Eukaryota, Metazoa, Arthropoda, Insecta, Lepidoptera, Plutellidae.
ACUGCGAGGUAAACAUCGACCAAUGAAACUGCAUCAAACGCUCAUGCAAUUUCAUUGGUUGAUGAUUUCCUCGCUCA